This 776-nucleotide ribosomal RNA is filed under the name uncultured Neocallimastigales. RNAcentral's name for it is "partial large subunit ribosomal RNA". It matches the Rfam family "Eukaryotic large subunit ribosomal RNA", at positions 22 to 640 of the family's 3401-position model. Lineage: Eukaryota; Fungi; Neocallimastigomycota; Neocallimastigomycetes; Neocallimastigales. The record is from RNAcentral.
ACAUAGCGACUAUCGUGGCAUAUCAAUAAGCGGAGGAAAAGAAACUAACUAAGGAUUCCCUCAGUAACGGCGAGUGAAGCGGGAAGAGCUCAAAUUUGAAAUCUUCAAGGUUUUACCUUGACGAAUUGUAGUUUAAAGAAGUGUUUUCUGUUGGUAGUUUUGGUAAAAGUUCUUUGGAAUAGGACAUCAUAGAGGGUGAGAAUCCCGUAUUUGACCAUUAUUUCAGCUGUGUGAUACACUUUCAAAGAGUCGGAUUGUUUGGGAAUGCAGUCCAAAAUGGGUGGUAAAUUUCAUCUAAAGCUAAAUAUUGGCGAGAGACCGAUAGCGAACAAGUACCGUGAGGGAAAGAUGAAAAGAACUUUGAAAAGAGAGUUAAACAGUACGUGAAAUUGUCAAAAGGGAAGCGUUUGACACCAGUGUUGUUUAGUUGAAAAUCAAUUAAAUAUUUUUCGAUUUUAAGUAGUAUUGACCUUAUCAGCUUGCUGCUUUUUUCUCGGAAAUUAUUUAAUGCACUUUUCAGUUAACAAGUCAACAUCAAUUUCUUUUGUUGUAAAAAGGUAAGAGGAAGGUGGCUUGCGCUUCGGCUCAAGUGUUUAUAGCCUUUUACCCCUGCAAUCGGAGAGAUUGAGGUCUGCAGCGUAGAUCCUUCGGGGUUAGAUACAUUUGUGCUAAGCUAUAGCCUUGUAUAGACAACUUGUUGACUAUGCUCAGUCAUGUAGCUUACUCGCUUAUGCUAUUUUACCUACGCUUAGGAUGUUGAUAUGCAUGACUGAUAU